GGCUCAGAACGAACGCUGGCGGCGCGUUUAAGCAUGCAAGUCGAGCGGCAAGGGCCUUCGGGCCCCUAGAGCGGCGGACGGGUGAGUAACACGUGGACAAUCUGCCCCCCGGCCCGGGAUAGGCCCAGGGAAACCUGGAUUAAUACCGGAUGAGACGGGACCCGCGAUGGCGGGACCCGGGAAAGGCGCUGCGGCGCCGCCGGGGGAUGAGUCUGCGUCCCAUUAGCUAGACGGCGGGUAACGGCCCACCGUGGCGACGAUGGGUAGCCGGGCCUGAGAGGGUGGACGGCCACAUUGGAACUGAGACACGGUCCAGACUCCUACGGGAGGCAGCAGCUAAGAAUCUUCCGCAAUGGGCGAAAGCCUGACGGAAGCGACGCCGCGUGAACGAAGAAGGCCGUGAGGUUGUAAAGUUCUUUUCGGGAGGGGAACAACCGUGGCAGGGAAUGGCCGCGGGAUGACGUGAAUCCCGGAAUAAGCCCCGGCUAACUACGUGCCAGCCGCCGC
Molecule: ribosomal RNA, 507 nt
Filed under: uncultured bacterium
Lineage: Bacteria
Description: bacterial SSU rRNA
Rfam family: Bacterial small subunit ribosomal RNA
Source: RNAcentral